This 492-nucleotide ribosomal RNA is filed under the name Meloidae sp. UPOL ZL0058. RNAcentral's name for it is "partial 16S ribosomal RNA". It matches the Rfam family "Bacterial large subunit ribosomal RNA", at positions 1844 to 2600 of the family's 2925-position model. The record is from RNAcentral. Lineage: Eukaryota; Metazoa; Arthropoda; Insecta; Coleoptera; Meloidae.
UUUAAGGUUUGGCCUGCUCCAUGACUAAGUUAAAUAGCCGCAGUAUUUUGACUGUGCAAAGGUAGCAUAAUCAUUAGUUUUUUAAUUGAAAGCUGGAAUGAAGGGUUGGAUGAGAAAGAAUCUGUCUCACUUUAAUUUAUUUGAAUUUUAUUUUUAAGUCAAAAAGCUUAAAUUUUAUAGAAAGACGAGAAGACCCUAUAGAGUUUAAUAAGUUAGGAUUUAAUUAUCUGAGGAUUUUAAUGUAAUUAUUUUUUGGCUUGUUUUGUUGGGGUGACAUUAGAAUUGAAUAAACUUCUAAUUAUUUAUACAUUGAUUUAUGAACUAAUGAUCCUGAUUUUUGGAUUUUAAGAUCAAAUUACCUUAGGGAUAACAGCGUAAUCUUUUUGGAGAGUUCUAAUCGAUAAAAGGGAUUGCGACCUCGAUGUUGGAUUAAAGUUAAGUUUCGGUGUAGGAGCUGAAAUUUUGAGUCUGUUCGACUUUUAAAACUUUACA